RNAcentral lists this transfer RNA (73 nucleotides) under Axinella corrugata. RNAcentral's name for it is "tRNA-Leu". It matches the Rfam family "tRNA". From Rfam's summary of the family: Transfer RNA (tRNA) molecules are approximately 80 nucleotides in length. Their secondary structure includes four short double-helical elements and three loops (D, anti-codon, and T loops). Lineage: Eukaryota; Metazoa; Porifera; Demospongiae; Axinellida; Axinellidae. The record is from RNAcentral.
AAGAGUGUGGUGGAAGGGUAGACACCCCGGAUUUAGGAUCAGGUGAGUAUGGGUUCGAGUCCCAUCACUCUUA